UACAGAGGUCCCGAGCGUUGUUCGGAUUUACUGGGCGUAAAGGGUGCGUAGGCGGCAGGGUAAGUUUGAGGUGAAAGCUCCGGGCUCAACCCGGAAACGGCCUUGAAAACUAUCCUGCUAGAGGUUUGGAGGGGAGACUGGAAUUCUCGGUGUAGCAGUGAAAUGCGUAGAUAUCGAGAGGAACACCAGUGGCGAAGGCGAAUCUCUGGACAACACCUGACGCUGAGGCACGAAAGCCAGGGGAGCAAACGGG
Molecule: ribosomal RNA, 253 nt
Filed under: uncultured bacterium
Lineage: Bacteria
Description: partial 16S ribosomal RNA
Rfam family: Bacterial small subunit ribosomal RNA
Source: RNAcentral